CAAGAAGCCGAAAGGCUACUUAAAACCAUCGCGAACUUAUCCAAGUUGCUUCGGCGGCGCGGCUCCCCUCACGGGGGACCGCAGCCCCCGCCUCUCAGGAGGUAAGGGGCAGCCUGCCGGAGGUACGAAACUCUGUACUAUAGUGGUAUCUCUGAGUAUAAAACAAAUAAGUUA
Molecule: unclassified non-coding RNA, 174 nt
Filed under: soil metagenome
Description: partial internal transcribed spacer 1
Source: RNAcentral